Molecule: long non-coding RNA, 2829 nt
Filed under: Triticum aestivum (bread wheat)
Lineage: Eukaryota; Viridiplantae; Streptophyta; Magnoliopsida; Poales; Poaceae
Description: long non-coding RNA (TAES_LNC016858)
Source: RNAcentral
GCUCGCGCUCCGGGCAGAUGCUCGUUCUUCUUGGUGGUGACUACGCGUUCCUCCCGGUGGUGGCGCUCUACCCUUUGUGUUGCCUUUCUCCAAGCAGUUGUGCCCUUCGACCCCUACCUGUAAUCAGUGAGUCCUUCCUGUUUUCUUCGAAUUUUGAUGUGCAACUGUAGUUUCUCCAUUUAUCUUGAAUUCUCUCAGAUCCCUGUCGGUCAGUUACUCAGUUUGUAGUAGAACUACACAUCUUUCCUAGACCUCCAUUAAAUUAUUUUUUCUUACUAGGUCAUAGUUGUUUGAUUAUUGGCAAACAAUCAUUCUUUACCUAUCCUUUUUUGCAUCCGCAGAUUGAUCCGGCAACAGAGAGUUGAAGCUGCAAACAAGCGUGAUGAGGAAAAAGCCGGUACACCACUACUCUUUGUAAUAUUUGGGAGAGGACGACUAAUCUAAUAUUGCCAAGAUAUACGUUUGUUGUCCUUGACCUGAUUUUUAUGGCACUCAAUUUAUUUCAUCUUGGAGUUGGUUUGUAUUGUUUCUGCAAAACAAUUGUCUGAACAUGUAAAUAAUAGUUGGUCACAAGUCAUAUGGGUACAGUGCAUCAUAACAACUCUGCCCCUACACAAUAUACAUCCCAUUACUUAUUUUUUUGGUAUGGUAAGUUGAGAAACAACUUUUUUUGUUGUUUUCUGAUGUGAACUACAUUAUAUGGACCUUUCACUCGAUUAUGUGCUAUUUUUUUUUUACUAUAAUUGACGUGUUGAUAUGUCAUUCUAGAAUUUUGUUGCUUCUGUUGGAACCUAAUUUUCAAUUUUAUACCUUGCAGAAUUUAUGACUGACAGAUUACAUGCUGGUUUCUUACUGCUUGGGUUUCGACAUUUGACAAUUGAACAAAUCAUAUACUGCAGAUUAUUAUAAUAGAAGGUAAACUUACCAAGCGAACAGAGCGAACAAUACUUGUGUUAGUGUUUUCCAGUCUGUUGCAUGCGCAUUGUGCUCACUACUGUCAAUCCAUGGAAAUUUAAAUGUAUAGUGAUGGAUUAAACAAAUGGAACCUAUAUCCUGACUUGCCACUACUAUACUGUAGCUUCUGAAACACGUGUAUGCAUAGAUAGUUUCUCUUUUAUCAUAACUGAAACAUUAUAAAGAUAAAUCUCACUCAGUUUUUAAGUGGGGAAGGGAAAGCUUCAAGAUAUUGCAUUUAAAACACUGAUAUCUAUUUGAAAAUUAAUUCAUGUGCAUAACUCCUGGUUCCUAUCAUUAUCAUGUCUCUAUUUCUCUUGUUCAAGAGAAGUGUGAAACAAAGCACUCAUAUUCACAGCAGCACGUACAGUUAUUCUAUGCUAUCAGAAAUAAGGUCGUUAAUAUUCAGAUAUAUGCAUGUAAACUUGGCCGGUUAAUCAUCAAACACACACACACACACACACACACACACACACACACACAAACACCAUGCUGGAAGGUGGUAUUCAUGGUUGAUAGAUGUCCCUAUAAGAUUGUACAUUGUUCCUCUGAUCCAUUGCGAGGUAUAUAAAUGAUUCGAUUUUGACUUUAUUUUUUCAGCUUAGUUCACCUAGUGUUGGAUAAAAGUUGGACAGAUGCACAUAGGUAAGUCUUAUCCAUAUAAUGCUUUUACAAUCUGCCAGUGGAACUUUAAAUGAUACGAUUUACCAAUUUCAAUGAUGUAUAAUAGCAGAUUAAGUAAAAGCAGUGUUAGAUAUGAAAUGAACUUAAUUCAACCAUUCUCUAGAAGAAAGUACCUAUUUGUCAUAAUGGCGAUGUUAUCUUGUAGAACAGCAAUAGGGAUUUGUUAACAUUCGACCUUUAUGCUGUACUUUUUCCAUUUUGAUUCGCCCACUGUUAAUAUCCUCUUCUUCAACUGACACAUUCUUGCAAGCUAUCACAAUUGAUGAAAUAUAAUUACGAGCACUUAGCUUUUUUGAAUUUUAUAUGCAUACCAGAAGAUUUACUCGUUACAAACAUUAAACAGACGGACCUCUUUUUCAACAAGUUGUUUCAAAUCCCACUGAGACAAAAUAAAAGUGUGCUACUGCUAAUUACUAUACGAGAACAGAAUGUAUGGUUCUAUAUUGGAAUUUUUAGCUGUUGUGGUGUUCCUAAUAACUUAAAACUGCUGUGAAGAUGAACUGAACCAUAGUACUCUCGAAUUAGAGAGCAAGAAAUUUCGAGUUAGUCUACUGUAGGGUAAUAAAGUUCUUAUAUAUGCUGCAAAUCAGUUGCCUUGUGGUGUAAUCACUGAUGUCAUGUUUCCAUAAGUGGGCUGCUGUAAUGACCUUAAUAGUGCAAAGCUAUGUUUUAUAUAAAUUUGCCUAUUCUUUCCAGAGUGCAGGGAAAUGUAUGAGGUGAAUCAAUUUUCCUAUUCUGUUGUUGCUGCUAUAUUCAGGUGUAUGUGGGUUUAAGAUUGGCCACUAAUUGUUGAACCAGGAGCUUUCCCUCGUUAGGAAUAUAAGCUGAAACUUUCCCAUUGCCUUGAUUCUUUGUAGGAAAGACAUACAAGAUGACCAGGAACCAUGAAGCUUGCAGUUUGCGUUAACUGUGUAAUGGAGCGGACUAUGAAUCACUGGACAUGUGUCUAUUAGCUAUCAUAUAUGGUGUCUCGGUCAAGUGGAUAUUCUGUGUAAUGGAAGACGCAUGAUUUGUAGGACAUAUAUCUAUUGGCUAUCAUUUUGUAAACCUAUCCGGUCUCUCGGUCACUGAACCAUAAAUGUUUCCUCUUAAUUGGCUACCUCAUCCGUUUCUGAGAAGUAAUUAAUGUGCUAUUUUUGUUUGGUUUUGGUUUAAUAUUUUUGGAGUACAUGCAUGUUACUUUAAUUUGAU